GUACACCUACGGGGGGCAGCAGUGGGGGAUAUUGCACAAUGGGGGAAACCCUGAUGCAGCGACGCCGCGUGGAGGAAGAAGGUCUUCGGAUUGUAAACUCCUGUCCGAGGGGACGAUAAUGACGGUACCCUUGGAGGAAGCACCGGCUAACUACGUGCCAGCAGCCGCGGUAAAACGUAGGGUGCAAGCGUUGUCCGGAAUUACUGGGUGUAAAGGGAGCGCAGGCGGACUGUCAAGUUGGGAGUGAAAACUACGGGCUCAACCUGUGGCCUGCAUUUGAAACUGUAGUUCUUGAGUACUGGAGA
Molecule: ribosomal RNA, 305 nt
Filed under: uncultured bacterium
Lineage: Bacteria
Description: bacterial SSU rRNA
Rfam family: Bacterial small subunit ribosomal RNA
Source: RNAcentral